GACGAACGCUGGCGGCGUGCUUAACACAUGCAAGUCGAACGGAAAGGCCCUGCUUGCAGGGUACUCGAGUGGCGAACGGGUGAGUAACACGUGGGUGAUCUGCCCUGCACUUCGGGAUAAGCCUGGGAAACUGGGUCUAAUACCGGAUAGGAGCCAUUUUGAGUGUGAUGGUUGGAGAGUUUUUUCGGUGUAGGAUGAGCUCGCGGCCUAUCAGCUUGGUGGUGGGGUAAUGGCCUACCAAGGCGGCGACGGGUAGCCGGCCUGAGAGGGUGGACGGCCACAUUGGGACUGAGAUACGGCCCAGACUCCUACGGGAGGCAGCAGUGGGGAAUAUUGCACAAUGGGCGCAAGCCUGAUGCAGCGACGCCGCGUGGGGGAUGACGGCCUUCGGGUUGUAAACUCCUUUCGCUAGGGACGAAGCUUUUUGUGACGGUACCUAGAUAAGAAGCACCGGCUAACUACGUG
RNAcentral lists this ribosomal RNA (465 nucleotides) under uncultured bacterium. RNAcentral describes it as "partial 16S ribosomal RNA". It matches the Rfam family "Bacterial small subunit ribosomal RNA", at positions 28 to 507 of the family's 1533-position model. The record is from RNAcentral.